CUUGAGAGAGUAACAUGCUGCUGAGACCAUCUGGACAGUGUACAUGACUGAACCCGGUUAAAGCCUUUAUAUAAACUUCUAAGAUGCUGGUGGGCAGCUACGGAGAUCUACUUGUCUUGCUGCCACACAAGAGAAGCCUCGCAUCAAGAAUUCCACAAGGAUCUCUUCUUUUGCAAGAAGACCUCACCUGCUGAUAAGACCAGAAGAUAUGGCAGAGCAUCUGGGACCAGGACUGCAGGGUCAAUAAUACUAGGAGCAUUUGGUACUGAGCCAAUCGCUUUUCUCCAUGUGGAAUGAUGAUUUGGUUGAAGAGACGGAAGUAACCUCUGCAAGAGUACAGAUGCAGGUUCCGAAAAAAUACCUACGCCAUUCCAAGCCUCUGCAUUCGGGUAUGUGAAUUCAAAAUGGCUAAUAGCCCAACUCCCAGGACUCCACACAGCAAGCCAAGCUUUCCCCUCCGGUAAAGACAGCUGGCUCAUUUUCAUUUACACGGAUCAUUCCUCUUCAACUCUGUAAGAUUGAGAUAUAAAUUUGUUGAGAUUUGUUUUGUCUAUUAUAAUGCAUUGAGUAUAAACUUGGAAUGAAAAGAUAGGCGUUCAAGUGCAGAUUCUAUAUUCUUUCUCAAUGCCUGACACGCGAGGAUUCAAGUUUUAAAUUUAUUUAGAGCUGGUACUGGCAGAGAUCUAGAGGUCAUGGUGGUAAUAAGCCAAACAGAAGGCAAUAAUGCAGCGCUGUCUGCUAAGGUCAACCUCUGUGGACACUGGAAACAUGAAGCUGGAAAUGGAGAACGUCCCCAACUCAAUUCAACAAGGCCAAAUGUAAUGGGCAUAUGGUAGGCAUUCAGCUUGUGGCAAACAAAACAAUUAAUAGAAUCUGAAUAUAAAAUGUUGCUGAAAAACUUUGCAAUCCAGAAAUUUAUAAAUAUUUACUGGACUAACCAAUAGUUACUAUUAUAACUUAGCCUAGAAAUUAUUAACCAUGCAUGACUAAUACUGAUUUUCCAUUCCAUGAGAGCCAUUAUGAUUGUUUUGUUCACCACUCUAUCUGUGGUGCCUACAAGAGGGCCUGAAAUGUAUUAGGUCGUCAAAAAUAUUUAUCAUGAAUGAACAAAGAGAUGAACAAGAAGACAUAGCCUAUGAUUUAUCUACAAUUAUUUGUCACACUUGUAUUUAUAAAAUUAAUUUUCCAACAGCUUUGAAGUAAUCCACCAAACUCCCAAGUACUUUUUUCCAUUUUGCUUCCUAGGUCUUCCUACGUUAUAUCAAGAUUAUGGAGAAAAGCUUGAAACCCAAUAGGAUUAAUGCUCUUAAUCACAUAUUUUAUUCAUAUGCCUUAUCUGUCAUGUGUUUUUUUUUUUUUUUUUGAAGAGAAGUCUAAUGUUUUCCAAGCCCUGCAGAGUGGGCCCAUGCUAAUCAGCCCAGUCAGUAUUCAUAUCCAAACAUUUUGCUUGGGUACACACACACACACACACAUGCACAAACUGUGCAGAAACUACGUUAGUAAUUGCAGCCCCAAUUAAUUCUUGCUUGCAAGGCCACUGCAGAGGCAAGUUUAGUAUACCAAUCCAGGCAUGCCUAUCGAUUUGUUCCCAGCAGACGGUGCAUGCCUCCUCUCUUCCCGAGUGAAUGAGUCGCACUUUGUAAGGUUAUAGACGGCAAGGCGAGGCAUCCAAGAGAGACAUGUUUCCAGACAUCUUGGAAUAUGCUUCCAUGAGAUCUCUCUUUACCAAAAGAUUUUAAAACACUUGCUAAACGUCAAGGCACAAGGAUGGGGAAUGAAGAAUGAAGCCUUAUAAGGCAGCAUCUUAGGUAAGAAUUUAUCCCAGGAUGCGAUCACUGCUAUUAAGUUUACAUGGAUUGAGAGGAGCGGUGAAUAAGAGAAG
Molecule: long non-coding RNA, 1882 nt
Filed under: Equus caballus (horse)
Lineage: Eukaryota; Metazoa; Chordata; Mammalia; Perissodactyla; Equidae
Description: lncRNA (ENSECAG00000055001.1)
Source: RNAcentral